GUGGGGAAUAUUGGACAAUGGGCGAAAGCCUGAUCCAGCAAUGCCGCGUGAGUGAAGAAGGCCUUAGGGUUGUAAAACUCUUUCGCCGGUGAAGAUGAUGACUGUAGCCGGUAAAGAAGCCCCGGCUAACUCCGUGCCAGCAGCCGCGGUAAUACGGAGGGGGCUAGCGUUGUUCGGAAUUACUGGGCGUAAAGCGCGCGUAGGCGGUGUAUCCAGUCAGAGGUGAAAGCCCUGGGCUCAACCCAGGAAUAGCCUUUGAUACUGGUACGCUAGAGUCCGGGAGAGGGUAGUGGAAUUUCCAGUGUAGAGGUGAAAUUCGUAGAUAUUGGAAAGAACACCAGUUGCGAAGGCGGCUACCUGGCCCGGUACUGACGCUAAUGUGCGAAAGCGUGGGGAGCAAACAGG
This 405-nucleotide ribosomal RNA is filed under the name uncultured bacterium. Its description in RNAcentral is "bacterial SSU rRNA". It matches the Rfam family "Bacterial small subunit ribosomal RNA", at positions 354 to 776 of the family's 1533-position model. The record is from RNAcentral.